UAGAGUUUUAUCCUGGCUCAGAUUGAACGCUGGCGGCAGGCCUAACACAUGCAAGUCGAACGGUAGCACAGAGAGCUUGCUCUCGGGUGACGAGUGGCGGACGGGUGAGUAAUGUCUGGGAAACUGCCUGAUGGAGGGGGAUAACUACUGGAAACGGUAGCUAAUACCGCAUAACGUCGCAAGACCAAAGAGGGGGACCUUCGGGCCUCUUGCCAUCAGAUGUGCCCAGAUGGGAUUAGCUAGUAGGUGGGGUAACGGCUCACCUAGGCGACGAUCCCUAGCUGGUCUGAGAGGAUGACCAGCCACACUGGAACUGAGACACGGUCCAGACUCCUACGGGAGGCAGCAGUGGGGAAUAUUGCACAAUGGGCGCAAGCCUGAUGCAGCCAUGCCGCGUGUAUGAAGAAGGCCUUCGGGUUGUAAAGUACUUUCAGCGGGGAGGAAGGCGAUAAGGUUAAUAACCUUGUCGAUUGACGUUACCCGCAGAAGAAGCACCGGCUAACUCCGUGCCAGCAGCCGCGGUAAUACGGAGGGUGCAAGCGUUAAUCGGAAUUACUGGGCGUAAAGCGCACGCAGGCGGUCUGUCAAGUCGGAUGUGAAAUCCCCGGGCUCAACCUGGGAACUGCAUUCGAAACUGGCAGGCUAGAGUCUUGUAGAGGGGGGUAGAAUUCCAGGUGUAGCGGUGAAAUGCGUAGAGAUCGGAGGAAUACCGGUGGCGAAGGCGGCCCCCGGACAAAGACGACGUCAGGUGCGAAAGCGGAGCACC
RNAcentral lists this ribosomal RNA (766 nucleotides) under Enterobacter cancerogenus. RNAcentral's name for it is "bacterial SSU rRNA". It matches the Rfam family "Bacterial small subunit ribosomal RNA", at positions 1 to 769 of the family's 1533-position model. Lineage: Bacteria; Pseudomonadati; Pseudomonadota; Gammaproteobacteria; Enterobacterales; Enterobacteriaceae. The record is from RNAcentral.